RNAcentral lists this ribosomal RNA (496 nucleotides) under uncultured bacterium. RNAcentral's name for it is "partial 16S ribosomal RNA". It matches the Rfam family "Bacterial small subunit ribosomal RNA", at positions 29 to 507 of the family's 1533-position model. The record is from RNAcentral.
AUGAACGCUGGCGGCGUGCCUAAUACCUGCAAGUCGAGCGAACAGAAGAGGAGCUUGCUCCUCUGACGUUAGCGGCGGACGGGUGAGUAACACGUGGAUAACCUACCUAUAAGACUGGGAUAACUUCGGGAAACCGGAGCUAAUACCGGAUAAUAUAUUGAACCGCAUGGUUCAAUAGUGAAAGACGGUUUUGCUGUCACUUAUAGAUGGAUCCGCGCCGCAUUAGCUAGUUGGUAAGGUAACGGCUUACCAAGGCAACGAUGCGUAGCCGACCUGAGAGGGUGAUCGGCCACACUGGAACUGAGACACGGUCCAGACUCCUACGGGAGGCAGCAGUAGGGAAUCUUCCGCAAUGGGCGAAAGCCUGACGGAGCAACGCCGCGUGAGUGAUGAAGGUCUUCGGAUCGUAAAACUCUGUUAUUAGGGAAGAACAAAUGUGUAAGUAACUAUGCACGUCUUGACGGUACCUAAUCAGAAAGCCACGGCUAACUACGUG